AUUCAUCGAUUAGCAUCUUGAAUGUAAUAUGAAUGUAGAAGCAUGCUGAAAUGAAUAUUUAAAUUAUACAUGUUGGACUUGAAAUUUGACUUAGGAGAAAACCUGCGUUUUGACCCGUCAUAUGCUUAAACUACCAGAUUUAGCUCUAGGAGCCGUGUUUCGAUUGUAUCGUUGCCGUAUUAGUGCGAUGGAUACCUGGGGUAGUUUAGAAGGCAUUUACGCUCGUGCUGAGAUGCCGAGCUUAUUUUUCAGCAGAGUUUAGGCUAUUUCGGGUCGUUGGGUGCCGUUCGGGUUAG
Molecule: long non-coding RNA, 296 nt
Filed under: Ananas comosus (pineapple)
Lineage: Eukaryota; Viridiplantae; Streptophyta; Magnoliopsida; Poales; Bromeliaceae
Description: long non-coding RNA (ACOM_LNC037773)
Source: RNAcentral